This 484-nucleotide ribosomal RNA is filed under the name uncultured bacterium. RNAcentral's name for it is "partial 16S ribosomal RNA". It matches the Rfam family "Bacterial small subunit ribosomal RNA", at positions 30 to 507 of the family's 1533-position model. The record is from RNAcentral.
AUUGAACGCUGGCGGCAGGCCUAACACAUGCAAGUCGAGCGGAUGAAGGGAGCUUGCUCCUGGAUUCAGCGGCGGACGGGUGGGUAAUGCCUAGGAAUCUGCCUGGUAGUGGGGGAUAACGUCCGGAAACGGGCGCUAAUACCGCAUACGUCCUGAGGGAGAAAGUGGGGGAUCUUCGGACCUCACGCUAUCAGAUGAGCCUAGGUCGGAUUAGCUAGUUGGUGGGGUAAAGGCCUACCAAGGCGACGAUCCGUAACUGGUCUGAGAGGAUGAUCAGUCACACUGGUACUGAGACACGGUCCAGACUCCUACGGGAGGCAGCAGUGGGGAAUAUUGGACAAUGGGCGAAAGCCUGAUACAGCCAUGCCGCGUGUGUGAAGAAGGUCUUCGGAUUGUAAAGCACUUUAAGUUGGGAGGAAGGGCAGUAAGUUAAUACCUUACUGUUUUGACGUUACCAACAGAAUAAGCACCGGCUAACUUCGUG